This 274-nucleotide ribosomal RNA is filed under the name uncultured bacterium. RNAcentral describes it as "partial 16S ribosomal RNA". It matches the Rfam family "Bacterial small subunit ribosomal RNA", at positions 523 to 796 of the family's 1533-position model. The record is from RNAcentral.
ACACGUAGGAGGCAAGCGUUAUCCGGAUUUACUGGGCGUAAAGCGCGUGCAGGCGGUCUGGUAAGUUGGACGUGAAAGCUCCCGGCUCAACUGGGAGAGGUCGUUCAAAACUGCCGGACUAGAGGACGGUAGAGGGAGGUGGAAUUCCCGGUGUAGUGGUGAAAUGCGUAGAUAUCGGGAGGAACACCAGUGGCGAAGGCGGCCUCCUGGGCCGUUCCUGACGCUAAGACGCGAAAGCGUGGGGAGCGAACGGGAGUAGAAACCCUAGUAGUCC